RNAcentral lists this transfer RNA (71 nucleotides) under Manacus vitellinus (golden-collared manakin). It matches the Rfam family "tRNA". Rfam says of the family: Transfer RNA (tRNA) molecules are approximately 80 nucleotides in length. Their secondary structure includes four short double-helical elements and three loops (D, anti-codon, and T loops). Lineage: Eukaryota; Metazoa; Chordata; Aves; Passeriformes; Pipridae. The record is from Rfam by way of RNAcentral.
GGCUGAGCUCAGUUGGUUAGAGCAUGGUGCUAAUAACACCAAGCUCGUGGGUUCAACCCCCAUAUGGGUCA